CCUACGGGUGGCAGCAGUAGGGAAUUUUCGUCAAUGGGCGCAAGCCUGAACGAGCAAUGCCGCGUGAACGAGGAAGGUCUUCGGAUCGUAAAGUUCUGUUGAAGGGGAAAAAGAGCGGAGAGAGGAAAUGGUCUCCGAUUGAUAUUACCCUUCGAGGAAGUCACGGCUAACUACGUGCCAGCAGCCGCGGUAAUACGUAGGUGGCGAGCGUUAUCCGGAAUGAUUGGGCGUAAAGGGUGCGUAGGCGGUUUGAUAAGUUAGGGGUGAAAUGUCGGGGCUCAACCCCGAAACUGCCUCUAAUACGGUUGGACUAGAGAAUAGUUGCGGUAGGCGGAAUGUAUGGUGUAGCGGUGAAAUGCUUAGAGAUCAUACAGAACACCGAUUGCGAAGGCAGCUUACCAAACUAUAUCUGACGUUGAGGCACGAAAGCGUGGGUAGCAAACAGGAUUAGAUACCCCUGUAC
Molecule: ribosomal RNA, 463 nt
Filed under: uncultured bacterium
Lineage: Bacteria
Description: partial 16S ribosomal RNA
Rfam family: Bacterial small subunit ribosomal RNA
Source: RNAcentral